This is a transfer RNA of Mucor ambiguus, 81 nucleotides long. It matches the Rfam family "tRNA". Rfam says of the family: Transfer RNA (tRNA) molecules are approximately 80 nucleotides in length. Their secondary structure includes four short double-helical elements and three loops (D, anti-codon, and T loops). The record is from Rfam. Lineage: Eukaryota; Fungi; Mucoromycota; Mucoromycetes; Mucorales; Mucoraceae.
GCGUCAAUGGCCGAGCGGUUAAGGCGUCAGGUUUAGGCCCUGGUCUCUUCGGAGGCGUGAGUUCGAACCUCACUUGACGCA